RNAcentral lists this transfer RNA (64 nucleotides) under Nodularia breviconcha. Its description in RNAcentral is "tRNA-Ala". Lineage: Eukaryota; Metazoa; Mollusca; Bivalvia; Unionida; Unionidae. The record is from RNAcentral.
AGUUCUAUACUUUAAGAAAAAGACUUGAUUUGCAUUCAAUAAUUGAAUCCCCAUUCUAGAACUA